This 75-nucleotide transfer RNA is filed under the name Flavobacterium sp. RNAcentral's name for it is "tRNA-Thr". It matches the Rfam family "tRNA". From Rfam's summary of the family: Transfer RNA (tRNA) molecules are approximately 80 nucleotides in length. Their secondary structure includes four short double-helical elements and three loops (D, anti-codon, and T loops). Further hydrogen bonds mediate the characteristic L-shaped molecular structure. tRNAs have two regions of fundamental functional importance: the anti-codon, which is responsible for specific mRNA codon recognition, and the 3' end, to which the tRNAs corresponding amino acid is attached (by aminoacyl-tRNA synthetases). tRNAs cope with the degeneracy of the genetic code in two manners: having more than one tRNA (with a specific anti-codon) for a particular amino acid; and 'wobble' base-pairing, i.e. permitting non-standard base-pairing at the 3rd anti-codon position. RNAcentral also lists the same sequence under 30 other names. Lineage: Bacteria; Pseudomonadati; Bacteroidota; Flavobacteriia; Flavobacteriales; Flavobacteriaceae. The record is from RNAcentral.
GCCGACUUAGCUCAGAGGUAGAGUGCUUCCUUGGUAAGGAAGAGGUCACGGGUUCAAUUCCCGUAGUUGGCUCAA